This 228-nucleotide ribosomal RNA is filed under the name Clostridioides difficile. RNAcentral's name for it is "partial 23S ribosomal RNA". It matches the Rfam family "Bacterial large subunit ribosomal RNA", at positions 1143 to 1379 of the family's 2925-position model. Lineage: Bacteria; Bacillati; Bacillota; Clostridia; Peptostreptococcales; Peptostreptococcaceae. The record is from RNAcentral.
CACUGGUCGAGUGAUCCUGCGCCGAAGAUUUCCGGGGCUAAAACUUACUACCGAAGCUACGGCAUCAGUAAUGAUGGGUAGGGGAGCUUCCCAUACGGGUUGAAGCAUGACCGUAAGGACAUGUGGACAGUAUGGGAGUGAGAAUGUUGGCAUGAGUAGCGAGAUGUGGGUGAGAAUCCCACAGGCCGUAAACCCAAGGUUUCCAGGGGAAGGUUCGUCCGCCCUGGG